GACGAACGCUGGCGGCGUGCUUAACACAUGCAAGUCGAGCGGUAAGGCCCUUUCGGGGGUACACGAGCGGCGAACGGGUGAGUAACACGUGGGUGACCUGCCCUCAGCUCUGGGAUAAGCCUGGGAAACUGGGUCUAAUACUGGAUAUGACUCCACGGUGCAUGUCGUGGGGUGGAAAGCCUUGUGCGGCUGAGGAUGGGCCCGCGGCCUAUCAGCUUGUUGGUGGGGUGANGGCCUACCAAGGCGACGACGGGUAGCCGGCCUGAGAGGGCGACCGGCCACACUGGGACUGAGACACGGCCCAGACUCCUACGGGAGGCAGCAGUGGGGAAUCUUGCGCAAUGGGCGAAAGCCUGACGCAGCGACGCCGCGUGAGGGAUGACGGCCG
This 388-nucleotide ribosomal RNA is filed under the name uncultured bacterium. RNAcentral's name for it is "bacterial SSU rRNA". It matches the Rfam family "Bacterial small subunit ribosomal RNA", at positions 28 to 417 of the family's 1533-position model. The record is from RNAcentral.